Molecule: ribosomal RNA, 651 nt
Filed under: uncultured Actinomycetes bacterium
Lineage: Bacteria; Bacillati; Actinomycetota; Actinomycetes
Description: bacterial SSU rRNA
Rfam family: Bacterial small subunit ribosomal RNA
Source: RNAcentral
CGGCCUAUCAGCUUGUUGGUGGGGUGAUGGCCUACCAAGGCUUUGACGGGUAGCCGGCCUGAGAGGGUGACCGGUCACAUUGGGACUGAGAUACGGCCCAGACUCCUACGGGAGGCAGCAGUGGGGAAUAUUGCACAAUGGGCGCAAGCCUGAUGCAGCGACGCCGCGUGAGGGAUGGAGGCCUUCGGGUUGUGAACCUCUUUCGCUCAUGGUCAAGCCGCAACAAUGGUUGUGGUGAGGGUAGUGGGUAAAGAAGCGCCGGCUAACUACGUGCCAGCAGCCGCGGUAAUACGUAGGGCGCGAGCGUUGUCCGGAAUUAUUGGGCGUAAAGGGCUUGUAGGCGGUUGGUCGCGUCUGCCGUGAAAUCCUCUGGCUUAACUGGGGGCGUGCGGUGGGUACGGGCUGACUUGAGUGCGGUAGGGGAGACUGGAACUCCUGGUGUAGCGGUGGAAUGCGCAGAUAUCAGGAAGAACACCGGUGGCGAAGGCGGGUCUCUGGGCCGUUACUGACGCUGAGGAGCGAAAGCGUGGGGAGCGAACAGGAUUAGAUACCCUGGUAGUCCACGCUGUAAACGUUGGGCACUAGGUGUGGGGGCCACCCGUGGUUUCUGCGCCGUAGCUAACGCUUUAAGUGCCCCGCCUGGGGAGUACG